Molecule: unclassified non-coding RNA, 379 nt
Filed under: uncultured bacterium
Lineage: Bacteria
Description: contains 16S-23S intergenic spacer region
Source: RNAcentral
UCCAGCUUAUCGCUGGCGGUCUCCUGAGAGUGCAUCCUUACGGAUUAGCAACACAGGACAAGGGUUGCGCUCGUUGCGGGACUUAACCCAACAUCUCACGACACGAGCUGACGACAGCCAUGCAGCACCUCGACUUCUGUUCCUUGCGGAAAGGCCUCUGUUUCCAAAGGCCGUCAAAAGCCGUUCGAGCCCAGGUAAGGUUCUUCGCGUUGCGUCGAAUUAAACCACAUGCUCCACCGCUUGUGCGGGUCCCCGUCAAUUCCUUUGAGUUUUAACCUUGCGGCCGUACUCCCCAGGCGGUCGACUUCACGCGUUAGCUUCGUUACUGAGAGUGUCAAACCCCCAACAACCAGUCGACAUCGUUUAGGGCGUGGACUAC